Long non-coding RNA from Dioscorea cayenensis subsp. rotundata (Guinea yam), 343 nucleotides. RefSeq lists it as uncharacterized. The record is from RefSeq and is a predicted model, not a curated record. The transcript is spliced from 2 exons. NCBI's taxonomy places the organism in Eukaryota, Viridiplantae, Streptophyta, Magnoliopsida, Dioscoreales, Dioscoreaceae.
CAUGCUAAGAUGUACACAAACCACAAAAAUACCAAGAGUGCUUCUUGGAUGAAUAUGUGUUUGAAGGUUUUUAGUUGAGAGGUAUUGAGUAAAAUCUCUACUUGUAAAUCUAUAAUUUCUAUAGUGGAAUAUUUUUUCUCUUUCUCCUGUUGACGUAGGCAUCAAAAAGCUGAACCAUGUAAUUUUGUGGCUAGGUUACUGAGAAAAGCAAGGGCAUGCACACAUAAGCACUGAAAAAGUGGGAGCAAGCUUGUUCGCACAUAAGCACCGAGAUCACCCUUACAUAACCACUACUUGCACUUUCAAAAUAUACUUUUAUCCGUGUUUCUUUUAUUAGUUCUCA